AAGAUACCUUUAGAGAGUUACUUCAAACGAUCCAAAAUAGAAAAAUCUUUUAAGUUAAGAGAUUCUAAGUAAACGGUUUUUAUUAACGUUUUAGGAAGGUGUUAGGCACCUAAAACGUCCACUAACUUGCGGUUAUCCGGACUGUUUGAAAAUUGUCUUUGAUUAACUUCUAAAAGAUUAAUUUGUUGAAAAGUGAUUGGUUUUUAGAAAGGAUUUGUGUAAAACAAUUUUAGGUGACUUAAUAGGGAUUUUAACUAAGUCUACAAAAAUGAAAUAAACAAGUCAACACAUAAACGGGGAAAGGGAGGAGAAAGUAAAUGAUUUAGGCCAUUGGGCGCAAACCAACAAAACUUGUCCUAAUCUAAUUGGGCCUUUGACCCGUUUCACCUGUCCUAAUCUAGUUUUCGAGCCCUUGGAUCGAGUCUCGCUCCACCUGCAUUAAGUACAACUUUGGCUUCGAGGCUGAAAUAAAUAAUUAAAGAAAUACAUAAAUAAAUACGAAAACCAUAAAUAAAUAACGACGACAAAUGAAUAAAUAGAAAUCGGACUCGGGUCUAGUCAUUGCUUACAGAAUGAAACUUUAACCCAUUUUCCUUCUCUCAACUCCUUGUGUCCAUAUCCUAUGUGAUCGACUUUCAAAUUCUUCUAGAAAGUGGGCCUCAAUGACCCAUUGCAUAAUGCAAGGAAAAGGAGUCUGAUUGGACUCCCG
This 709-nucleotide long non-coding RNA is filed under the name Capsicum annuum. RNAcentral describes it as "long non-coding RNA (CANN_LNC001011)". Lineage: Eukaryota; Viridiplantae; Streptophyta; Magnoliopsida; Solanales; Solanaceae. The record is from RNAcentral.